Molecule: ribosomal RNA, 1439 nt
Filed under: uncultured bacterium
Lineage: Bacteria
Description: 16S ribosomal RNA
Rfam family: Bacterial small subunit ribosomal RNA
Source: RNAcentral
AGAGUUUGAUCCUGGCUCAGGAUUAACGUUGGUAGUACACACAUCCAAGCAAGUCGAACGGGAUUGUAGCAAUACAGUUCAGUGGCGAACGGGUGAGUAAUACUUAUCUACUAGCCAAUUAGUGGGGGAUUAAAUACCGCAUACUCUGAUUUCGGUCAGGAAAGGGUUCCGCAAGGACUCGCUAAUUGAGAGGGAUAAGGCGUAUUAGCUAGUUGGUGGGGUAAUGGCCUACCAAGGUAAUGAUGCGUAGCCGGCCUGAGAGGGUGAACGGCCACAAGGGAACUGAGACACGGUCCCUACUCCUACGGGAGGCAGAAGGAGGAAACAUCCCGCAAUGGACGCAAGUCUAACGGAGUGAUACUACGUGAAGGAUGAAGGUCUAAGGAUUGUAAACUUCUUUACUAGUAAGUACUGCUUUCGGGCUUGCUUGCUAGCAAAAAGUCACGACUAACUAUGUGCCAGCAGUCGCGGUAAGACAUAGGUGGCAAACGUUAUCCGGAAUUACUGGGCGUAAAGAGUGCGUAGGUGGUUCAAUAAGUUACUGGUGGAAAUCGGGGCCCAACCCCGUGGAAGUUGGUAAUACUGAUGAACUAGAGGACCGGAGAGGUUAACGGAAUUCUAUGUGUAGCGGUAAAAUGCUCAAAUAUAUAGAGGAACACCAAACGGCGAAGGCAGUUAACUAUUCGGUGCCUGACGUUGAGGCACGAAAGCGUGGGGAGCAAGACGGAUUAGAUACCCGAGUAGUCCACGCCCUAAACGAUGAGUACUAGAUAUUGGGAACUUGAUUUUCAGUGUCGCAAGAUAACUCGGUAAGUACUCCGCCUGGGUAGUACGGUCGCAAGGCUAAAACUCAAAGGAAUUGACGGGAACUCACACAAGCAGUGGAGCAUGUGGUUUAAUCCGAUAUGACGCGUAGAACCUUACCGGGGCUUGACAUGUUCGGCAAAACUAGGGAAACCUAGCGGAGGUUAUCCGGACACAGGUGUUGCAUGGCCAUCGUCAGUUCGUGUUGUGAGAUGUAUGGUCUAGUCCUAUUAACGAACGAAACCCUUGUGCUUAGUUGCUAACAGGUAAGGCUGAGGACUCUAAGCAGACUGCCAAGGCAACUUGGAGGAAGGCGAGGAUCAAGUUUGGUCGUCAUGGCCCUUAUGCCCCGGGCGACACACGUGCUACAAUGGUUAGGACAAAGCGUUGCUAACUCGCGAGGGUGCGCUAAUCGCAAAAACCUAACCUCAAUUUGGAUUGGAGGCUGAAACUUGCCUCCAUGAAACUGGAAUUGCUAGUAAUCGUGAAUCAGCCAUGUCACGGUGAAUAUGUCCCUGAGUUCUGUACACACCGCCCGUCAAGUCACGAAAGUCGGUAAUAUUUGAAGUUGGUCUGCAAAGGCUAAUUAGGGUAGGAUCGGUGAUUGGGGCUAAGUCGUAACAAGGUAGCCGUAG